UAGAUUUGUCCCGUAAACUUCUAUAUACAUUUUUGUGUGCUCUUUAUUGGGAUAUGUGGUAGUCUUUCCUGUAAUAAUUAUAAAUAUCGAUCGUAUCGGCUUGGCCUGCUUCCCCAAAGCCUAAUUCAGAUUAUAGAUCGAUAUAUUGUAGUACCUACCUUUCCGUGAGGUAUCCUUCCUGCAGCUUCAUAUUCAAUUCUUUGUCUAUUGCAACAGCAUCUAGCAAAAUGUGCUGCGGACCUUGCUACUCGUGCUGCGGACCCUGCGGUGGCUGUUGUGGACCUUGCGGCGGCUGCUAUGGCGGCUGUUGCUAUCGCUAUUCCUGCUGUGGUCCCUGUUAUGGACGCUGUUGUGGCGGCUGUGGCCCCUGUUGCUAGAGAUGUCUUCAAAAGGAUAUCUAGGUACUACUCAUACUUCAGGCGCUAUACGAAUGUCACUCUGUUAGUGUACAAAAUUUUAUGUUUAAAUAAGUAAAGUUAUGGGAAAUUAAAAAGCAGCGUUGAUCCA
Long non-coding RNA from Drosophila hydei, 507 nucleotides. RefSeq lists it as uncharacterized. The record is from RefSeq and is a predicted model, not a curated record. The transcript is spliced from 2 exons. NCBI's taxonomy places the organism in Eukaryota, Metazoa, Arthropoda, Insecta, Diptera, Drosophilidae.